This 125-nucleotide non-coding RNA is filed under the name Staphylococcus arlettae. RNAcentral describes it as "FMN riboswitch (RFN element)". It matches the Rfam family "FMN riboswitch aptamer (RFN element)". Rfam says of the family: The RFN element is a highly conserved domain that is found frequently in the 5'-untranslated regions of prokaryotic mRNAs that encode for flavin mononucleotide (FMN) biosynthesis and transport proteins. This element is a metabolite-dependent riboswitch that directly binds FMN in the absence of proteins. In Bacillus subtilis, the riboswitch most likely controls gene expression by causing premature transcription termination within the 5' untranslated region of the ribDEAHT operon and precluding access to the ribosome-binding site of ypaA mRNA. The record is from RNAcentral. Lineage: Bacteria; Bacillati; Bacillota; Bacilli; Caryophanales; Staphylococcaceae.
UCUUUCGGGGCAAGGUGAAAUUCCUAACCGGCAGUAUAAAAGCCUGCGACCCAUAAAUGUUUAGUAUUUAUGGCUGAUCUAGUUUGAUUCUAGAGCCGACAGUUAAAGUCUGGAUGGGAGAAAGA